GACGAACGCUGGCGGCGUGCUUAACACAUGCAAGUCGUACGGUAAGGCCCUUUCGGGGGUACACGAGUGGCGCACGGGUGAGUAACACGUGAGUAACCUGCCCACAACUUUGGGAUAACGCUAGGAAACUGGUGCUAAUACUGGAUAUGUGCUCCUGCUGCAUGGUGGGGGUUGGAAAGCUCCGGCGGUUGUGGAUGGACUGGCGGCCUAUCAGCUUGUUGUUGGGGUAGUGGCCUACCAAGGCGGCGACGGGUAGCCGGCCUGAGAGGGUGACCGGCCACAUUGGGACUGAGAUACGGCCCAGACUCCUACGGGAGGCAGCAGUGGGGAAUAUUGCACAAUGGGCGCAAGCCGGAUGCAGCAACGCCGCGUGCGGGAUGACGGCCUUCGGGUUGUAAACCGCUUUCAGCAGGGACGAAGCUUUUUGUGACGGUACCUGCAGAAGAAGCACCGGCUAACUACGUG
Molecule: ribosomal RNA, 465 nt
Filed under: uncultured bacterium
Lineage: Bacteria
Description: partial 16S ribosomal RNA
Rfam family: Bacterial small subunit ribosomal RNA
Source: RNAcentral